UACGUAGGCAGCGAGCGUUGUUCGGAGUUACUGGGCGUAAAGGGUGUGUAGGCGGUUCUUUAAGUUUGGUGUGGAAUCUCCCGGCUCAACCGGGAGGGUGCGCCGAAUACUGAGGGACUAGAGUACGGGAGAGGAAAGUGGAAUUCCUGGUGUAGCGGUGAAAUGCGUAGAUAUCAGGAGGAACACCGGUGGCGAAGGCGGGUCUCUGGGCAAUUCCUGACGCUGAGGCGCGAAAGCGUGGGGAGCAAACGGG
RNAcentral lists this ribosomal RNA (253 nucleotides) under uncultured bacterium. RNAcentral describes it as "partial 16S ribosomal RNA". It matches the Rfam family "Bacterial small subunit ribosomal RNA", at positions 524 to 776 of the family's 1533-position model. The record is from RNAcentral.